Molecule: long non-coding RNA, 723 nt
Organism: Trichogramma pretiosum
Lineage: Eukaryota; Metazoa; Arthropoda; Insecta; Hymenoptera; Trichogrammatidae
Exons: 3
Source: RefSeq, a predicted model, not a curated record
UACAAAGUUAGUAAAGACUUUCAAAAAUUUUUAUGAGAACCGUCAAUCGCUGUCUUAAAGGCUGCAAAAUAACCAUGUUUCUUUGCAAACAAGUGUGUAUAGGCACCUCAUCCAGUACCAACUCUCUAAAAGGGCCGUUUGAACAUGGGUAAACUCUGUUACUAUUGUCCUGAAAUUAUGAACUGGAAGGAACCAAUAUGCUGCGUUCUUGUUCCAAGGUACGCUGCAUCAGCUCGUUAAGCUACAAAUCACAUUUACUCCACAACAGCUACACUCUACAAAACACAUCUAUUCAGGUAUUCAUUGGACAGCUACUGUUGACAGCAGAUGCUAACACAGCAACAUCGUGAAUCAAUACUAAAAAAUGCCCCAAGUUAGCAGCUAGUUACUCUUAAUCUCAGGAUUGGUUUGCCAUGCUGAAAAAACUCAUGAAAAUUUUAUACUUCCAUACAUUGGUGUUACGAAAUCAUCUCAACAGAUUAUGAGAUCACUGGUAAAAUAUCACUUUGCUGAUUUAAAAGGAUUGUCUCCUGAGCAAUUGUAUCGUAUUACUCUCAUGCCUUGUUAUGACAAAAAGCUAGAAGCUUCAAGACAGGAUUUUUAUAAUAGUUUGAAGGAAACCAGAGAUGUAGACUGCGUUAUAACUGCAGCUUGGUUGAUCAAAGUAAAAAAAUAUUUAUUGAGAAAUAAAAAAUUAAUUUAUAAUGAUUUAUUGUAGUUGAA